GAUUUUUAUUAUUUUUAUUAUUAUUAUUAUUAUUAUUAUUAUUAUUAUUAUUAUUAUUAUUAUUAUUAAGUUAUUUUUCAUCAUUGUAACAAAUUUGUGCACUGAGGCUUUGAGCAGUUACAUUAUUGACUAUUUCUUACCUUAGUUUCCCUUUAAAAUCAACAACGUAACAAAUUUGCGCACUGAGGCAAGGCGCACCCAUAUAGAAGACCACUUUCUACACUAAUAACCCUUGAAAACCUCUUUUAAAAAUCCUAUUCCUCUAACAUAACAAAAGUGCGCGCUGAGGCUGGGCGCAUUUGAAUUUUAAACCAUUUCUUAUUAAUAUAUUUCUUAAAACCUGACUUUUCAACAGUGUAACAAAAAUGCGCACUGAGGCUAGGCGCACCCACAUAGGAGGUGACUUUCUACCCUAAUAUCCCUUUGAAAACCUCUUAUAAUACUCCUAUUCCUCCAAUGUUACAAGUUUGCGCACUGAGGCUCGGCGCACCCCUUCCAAUACGCCUAUUCCUCUGAUGUUACAAAACUGCGCACUGAGGCUAGGCGCACCCACAUAGGAGGUGAC
Eriocheir sinensis (Chinese mitten crab) is the source of this 565-nucleotide long non-coding RNA. RefSeq lists it as uncharacterized. The transcript has 2 exons. NCBI's taxonomy places the organism in Eukaryota, Metazoa, Arthropoda, Malacostraca, Decapoda, Varunidae. The record is from RefSeq and is a predicted model, not a curated record.